This 1064-nucleotide long non-coding RNA is filed under the name Gossypium barbadense (sea-island cotton). RNAcentral describes it as "long non-coding RNA (GBAR_LNC001258)". Lineage: Eukaryota; Viridiplantae; Streptophyta; Magnoliopsida; Malvales; Malvaceae. The record is from RNAcentral.
AAAAAAAACAAAACAAAAAAAAACCUUUGAAAGAGAAUUGAGAGCAGGCCCUCGGAGCUCCGUCGAGCCUCCUUCCACGGGCUCCCACGCGCCCACGCGCCGCCGUCGACUUCGCCACGUACGGCGGUCGAAAGCUGAAGAGCUCCGAUUUUCAGCGCACAUUCGACGGUAAAUUUUUAUUUUAAUGAUAUUUGUAUUUAUUUGUAACUAAAAGGAAAGAAAAAAAAGAGGCAAAUUACCUUUGUUUCUUCAAUAAGAUGCUGGUAUUUUAUUGUAUAUGUGUAUAUAUCAACCGUAGUUUUACAUUGGUUCGAUUCGGGCUUUCAUAGCCACUGAAAAUAAUAUUUACCAUGUUUGAUUUUAUUUCUUACUAUAUUUAUAUUGGCUCUGCUGUUCUUCUUUCUUUUUUUGCAGGUACUAGCAAGAAAUCUGACGACGAUGGGGUGUUGAUGGUGAUUCACUGGCGCGCUGAUUGAGGCGAUGAUGGCACAAAUCUAUCGGUGGUGGGAUUGGCGCACCGAUUGCGGCGCGAGUUUGGGACCUUUGUCUGGUGCUUGCGGCGCCUAGGGUUUCAGAAACCCUAAGCCUCCUGUCUUCUGUUAACCAUUUGGGCCAUUCAGGCCUUGUGUAUUUUGGGUAUUUGAGUAUUUGGGCUACGGUAUAAGCUUGGGUGUAAUUAGGGCAUUGGGCUUUAAAUAUCUAUGGGCCUUGUAAAAUGGACUGUUAAAAAACUUUAUUUUUCUUUUAUUCGGUUUAUUCUCCUUUUAAGUUUUUAAUAGCCCGAGUAAAUUGGACCUAUUACAACCCUAAAAUGAAAACAAAAGAGAAGUAAAAGGGUUAUUGAUGUUGCAAUGGGGCGAAGGAUGAAAGGGUUGCUGCGGAAUGUUGUUCUACGCCCAAACCUUUGGAAUACUUGCUCCAAAAUGCUAUGGUGGAACCACAUUUCCUUAUGUAACUCUUUAAAGUUUAUUUUUGAAUUUUAAAAUCUAAAAUUUUUAUAAUUUUCAUAUAUUUUGGAAAUAAAAUUUCUUUUUAAAAAAAGAGAGAAUAUUUUGUAAGUCCUA